UGGGGAAUAUUGGACAAUGGGCGCAAGCCUGAUCCAGCCAUGCCGCGUGAGUGAUGAAGGCUCUAGGGUUGUAAAGCUCUUUCGCCGGGGAAGAUAAUGACGGUACCCGGAGAAGAAGCCUCGGCUAACUCCGUGCCAGCAGCCGCGGUAAGACGGAGGAGGCUAGCGUUGUUCGGAAUUACUGGGCGUAAAGCGCAUGAAGGUGGUGAAGUAAGCCGGAUGUGAGAUCCCAGGGCUUAACCCUGGAAGUGCAUCCGGGACUGCUUUGCUCGAGUCCGGAAGAGGAGGGCGGAAUUCCCAGUGUAGAGGUGAAAUUCGUAGAUAUUGGGAAGAACACCAGUGGCGAAGGCGGCUCUCUGGUCCGGUACUGACACUUUAGUGCGAAAGCGUGGGGAGCAAACAGGAUUAGAUACCCAUGUAGUCCCUGAGCGGGCUGGCAAGGCGCAU
Molecule: ribosomal RNA, 447 nt
Filed under: uncultured bacterium
Lineage: Bacteria
Description: bacterial SSU rRNA
Rfam family: Bacterial small subunit ribosomal RNA
Source: RNAcentral